UGUUCAUCAGGAACAUCGGUCUCCGCCAUAGACCACCCCUAGGCCCACUGUCAAAACCCAUAAUUCGGUUGAGUUUCAACCGGGAAACUCAAUCGGAGCCCCUCUAAACCCAGAAAUCGGCCAGAACAACUUCAAUCCAUAAACACAAACCCUAAACCAAAUUCUUCCCUAAACCUUAAUCUGAGAACGAAUUCAAUCACAAACCAUAAACCAAAUUCUUCCCUAAACCUUAAUCCGAGAACGAAUUCAACCACAAACCCUUCAAAAUAAAGGAUUGAAACCCUUAGGGUUCUAAACCCUAACCCUCUCUCUAUCAAAUCUGAAGGUACAUCACACAAACUCACCUAAAAAACGAAAUCAAACAUGAAGAAACACAUCUUAAGCAAAAUCCAGCUACACAUCAAAGAAAUCAAACACUACAACAACUACAACAAUGUCCAGUUCACAUGUACAUGAGGCAGCCAUAAUACUCAACAACUUAAAAAGGCUAGCAAAUAGAGUUUAGCUGCAAGAAAUAUAUCGUCCAGACGUUACUAGAGAAAACAGUUCACAGGUUGUUUGAUCAAGUAUGCACAUGAAAAUGAGGUGAUGGUCACGAGGAAGAGCGUGGUGUCUUAAUGCCAAGCUUGUUUCAUCUGUUUUUUGCUUCUUCUUUUUUGUGAUGUUGUGACUUAAUGCUUAUAUUACUUAUCUCUUAUGUAAAAAGAACCAAGUUUAUGACACUAUGUAAAGUAUAAAUAAAAUGCAAUAUAAAAGGAAAUUCAUAACU
Molecule: long non-coding RNA, 769 nt
Organism: Lathyrus oleraceus (garden pea)
Lineage: Eukaryota; Viridiplantae; Streptophyta; Magnoliopsida; Fabales; Fabaceae
Exons: 2
Source: RefSeq, a predicted model, not a curated record